Molecule: ribosomal RNA, 924 nt
Filed under: Triticum aestivum (bread wheat)
Lineage: Eukaryota; Viridiplantae; Streptophyta; Magnoliopsida; Poales; Poaceae
Description: partial small subunit ribosomal RNA
Source: RNAcentral
AUGGGACAUGAAUCACCUUCUGUUCGACUGCUGCACCUUCGUCUGGACCACUGUGACACCGGGGACUGUUCUGUAUCGAAGAUCAAUGCGCCACAUUCGAAUCUCAGAGUUCUAGAAGUCUACUUAUCCAAGUUGAAAAGAGCUGAGGUGCUCUGCCUUCCAAAACUAGAGCGUGUCCGUUGGCAGGCUUGGUUGUUUUAUGAGGCCCCCUUGUGCUUUGGUUCUAUCCCGUCACUCAAUGAAUUGUCCCUCGUCUGUGAUGCAACUCUCUAGCAUCAAGACUUAUGUUUAAGCCAGGUUCUAGAUGGUGCCACAAACAUACAUGCUCUGACCUUAAAUUUUUGAGGAAAAAACAUUUGGAUGCAACCAGAAGGAAAACAACUAUGCACUGCAUCCAACAAGCUAAGAAAGUUGACUAUUCAUGGUGUCUUUAUAAAAUUUGACCUAUUAUGGACAUUAAAUCUCAUCGAAGCUGCUCCAUCUGUCGAGACAUUUGAUGUUGAGAUGUUUGAACAUCCAUGCCGGGAGGGUGAUGAAGCAAGAAUAAGAUGUUUUGGUGCUAAGAGAGUGGAACCUUCAUGGAAAUUGCCUGGGUUCACAAGCUGUCACAAGUGGCAAUUGAAAGAGUUCCAGUUCGGUGGUUUUCGGCCCCUAGUAGAGCAACACUUUUUAUUUGUAAGUACCGUGAUGGGUCGUGCUCCAGACUUGAAGACGGUUCUUCUGACAGACGGUCAAUAUCCAUGUAAGGGUUGUGACACAAGAAUCCCAAUACCUCCUCAAGUAGGGGGCUUCUUUCCAACAUACAGGGAUGCCCAAGAAGCAAUAGCUAAGCAACUUAGAGAGAGGGUCCGGUCCUCGGCACAGAUAAUUUUCCGUAGUGGUUCAACAUACCCCUCGCGGGCAGCCCGGACAUGUAUUUAUUAG